RNAcentral lists this non-coding RNA (102 nucleotides) under unclassified sequences. RNAcentral describes it as "malK-III RNA". It matches the Rfam family "malK-III RNA". The record is from RNAcentral.
CGGUCUGGUGCCGCGUACGGGAUCCGUCCAGCAGGCCCUCGUGGUCGGCAGAUGCAGGGAUCCGCGACGGCAUCGACGUGCAGAGGAGGCGCGCCAGACAUG